UGAAGAUUGUAUGCAUUCCUUCAUUUGUUCCUCCACAUUAAACCCUGGUCAUCCAUUGAUCUAACACAUUUCCUGAAUCCUAGAUUUCAAAAUAAGUAUCAACUAUUAGUUUGGGACCAAAAUUAUUUGGAAGCCAGUACAUGCAUCCAACUCAUAAGAAACUGAUUGGUUAUGGCUCCCAGAUCUAUGCAAACUUCUGGAUGAUUAGCAAACAUGGCAGCAGAUAUGCCUAAAAUUCUAGAUUUUAUUGCUAUCUUUUUGGCAUGUGGAUCUUUUCAGGCAGAUUUACUUGAUCCAAACUCUGAUGGCAUUUAAAAACUUGGAUUUCCCUCAGGCAUGAAGUCUUGAAGUUAGUGUUUUCUACAUCCUGAAAAGGGACAUUGGAAAAUAUUGCUCUUAGUGGAAGAUUGGCUCCAUUCAACAUUUCAUGCAAUAAAAAUAUUUCCACACCUAUGGAGACAGAUUGAUCAAGCUGUGACAGAGAUCCAAGGACGAUGCAGUCCCUCUGAGAUAGCCAUUUGUUGGUAUCAAAGCAGGAACACAAGUGUCUUGUUCAUGAUGGGAAGCAAGGCAAGCUAUGUUUUUGUAACCUUUUGCGCAGGAGGCUUUUUCUGUUGUUGUCAUUCCAUUCUUGUACACAGCCAGCCGCUGUGUAUCUUGGCAGAAUCAAGUCUGUUUCUGAGGGAAGAGAACUAUUUCUGUCCUUUAAUAAGUCAUUCCAAGUUUCCUGUGAUGUUAUAAAUAAGUGGGGCAAGCAGCCAGCUUUAUUUUGUUUAAUGUGAUAUGACAGAGAAAGAAAGCAGUCAAAAAACCCCAUCAAUCUCUACAUGCUGUAAUAUCUGGUGCUAGACUCUGAGAUUGCUUGCUCCCUUUCACAAGAUAAAGUUUAUCAUAAACUCUGCCUAUCAGCACAGCUGAUACGAGACCUUGCCU
Non-coding RNA from Pantherophis guttatus, 933 nucleotides. Lineage: Eukaryota; Metazoa; Chordata; Lepidosauria; Squamata; Colubridae. The record is from RefSeq and is a predicted model, not a curated record.